This 274-nucleotide ribosomal RNA is filed under the name uncultured bacterium. RNAcentral's name for it is "partial 16S ribosomal RNA". It matches the Rfam family "Bacterial small subunit ribosomal RNA", at positions 523 to 796 of the family's 1533-position model. The record is from RNAcentral.
AUACGGAGGGUGCAAGCGUUGUUCGGAAUUAUUGGGCGUAAAGCGCGUGUAGGCGGUCUGUUAAGUCUGGUGUGAAAGCCCUGGGCUCAACCCAGGAAGUGCAUUGGAUACUGACAGACUUGAGUAUGGGAGAGGAAAGCGGAAUUCCGAGUGUAGGAGUGAAAUCCGUAGAUAUUCGGAGGAACACCAGUGGCGAAGGCGGCUUUCUGGACCAAUACUGACGCUGAGACGCGAAAGCGUGGGGAGCAAACAGGAUUAGAUACCCUUGUAGUCC